This 1425-nucleotide ribosomal RNA is filed under the name metagenome. RNAcentral describes it as "bacterial LSU rRNA". It matches the Rfam family "Bacterial large subunit ribosomal RNA", at positions 1513 to 2925 of the family's 2925-position model. The record is from RNAcentral.
AAAGCGUGUAGGCAGACCUCUUAGGCAAAUCCGGGGGGUCAAUGCUGAGGCGUGAUAACGAGUGGUCUUGUACCGCGAAGUGAUUGAUACCAUGCUUCCAAGAAAAGCCUCUAAGCUUCAGUUACAAGGAGACCGUACCGCAAACCGACACAGGUGGGCAGGAUGAAAAUUCUAAGGCGCUUGAGAGAACUCAGGAGAAGGAACUCGGCAAAUUUGCACCGUAACUUCGGGAAAAGGUGCGCCCUGAUAGGUUGCAGCCCCUCGCGGGUGAAGGCUGAAAGGGUUGCAGUGAAAUGGUGGCUGCGACUGUUUAAUAAAAACACAGCACUCUGCAAACACGAAAGUGGACGUAUAGGGUGUGACGCCUGCCCGGUGCCGGAAGGUUAAGUGAUGGGGUGCAAGCUCUUGAUCGAAGCCCCGGUAAACGGCGGCCGUAACAAUAACGGUCCUAAGGUAGCGAAAUUCCUUGUCGGGUAAGUUCCGACCUGCACGAAUGGCGUAACGAUGGCCACACUGUCUCCUCCUGAGACUCAGCGAAGUUGAAGUGGUUGUGAAGAUGCAAUCUCCCCGCGGUUAGACGGAAAGACCCCAUGAACCUUUACUGUAGCUUUGCAUUGGACUUUGAACCGACUUGUUAGGAUAGGUGGGAGGCUGUGAAGCCGGGACGCUAGUUCUGGUGGAGCCAACCUUGAAAUACCACCCUGGUUUGUUUGAGGUUCUAACCACGGCCCGUGAAUCCGGGUCUGGGACCGUGCAUGGUAGGCAGUUUGACUGGGGCGGUCUCCUCCUAAAGUGUAACGGAGGAGUACGAAGGUACGCUAGGUACGGUCGGACAUCGUGCUAAUAGUGCAAUGGCAAAAGCGUGCUUGACUGCGAGACCCACACGUCGAGCAGGUACGAAAGUAGGUCAUAGUGAUCCGGUGGUUCUGUAUGGAAGGGCCAUCGCUCAACGGAUAAAAGGUACUCUGGGGAUAACAGGCUAAUACCGCCCAAGAGUUCAUAUCGACGGCGGUGUUUGGCACCUCGAUGUCGGCUCAUCACAUCCUGGGGCUGUAGUCGGUCCCAAGGGUAUGGCUGUUCGCCAUUUAAAGUGGUACGUGAGCUGGGUUUAAAACGUCGUGAGACAGUUUGGUCCCUAUCUGCCGUGGGCGCUGGAAAUUUGAAGGGGCUGCUCCUAGUACGAGAGGACCGGAGUGGACGAACCUCUGGUGUACCGGUUAUGACGCCAGUCGUAUUGCCGGGUAGCUGAGUUCGGAAGAGAUAAACGCUGAAAGCAUCUAAGCGUGAAACUCGCCUUAAGAUGAGAUUUCCCUGGGGACUUGAUCCCCCUGAAGGGUCGUGGUAGACCACCACGUUGAUAGGCUGGGUGUGGAAGCGCAGCAAUGCGUUAAGCUAACCAGUACUAAUUGCCCGUGAGGCUUGAUC